This 484-nucleotide ribosomal RNA is filed under the name uncultured bacterium. Its description in RNAcentral is "partial 16S ribosomal RNA". It matches the Rfam family "Bacterial small subunit ribosomal RNA", at positions 30 to 507 of the family's 1533-position model. The record is from RNAcentral.
AUUGAACGCUGGCGGCAGGCCUAACACAUGCAAGUCGAGCGGAUGACGGGAGCUUGCUCCUUGAUUCAGCGGCGGACGGGUGAGUAAUGCCUAGGAAUCUGCCUGGCAGUGGGGGACAACGUUCCGAAAGGAGCGCUAAUACCGCAUACGUCCUACGGGAGAAAGUGGGGGAUCUUCGGACCUCACGCUAUCAGAUGAGCCUAGGUCGGAUUAGCUAGUUGGUGAGGUAAAGGCUCACCAAGGCGACGAUCCGUAACUGGUCUGAGAGGAUGAUCAGUCACACUGGAACUGAGACACGGUCCAGACUCCUACGGGAGGCAGCAGUGGGGAAUAUUGGACAAUGGGCGAAAGCCUGAUCCAGCCAUGCCGCGUGUGUGAAGAAGGUCUUCGGAUUGUAAAGCACUUUAAGUUGGGAGGAAGGGCAGUAAGUUAAUACCUUGCUGUUUUGACGGUACCGACAGAAUAAGCACCGGCUAACUCCGUG